CGUUUGCUCACAGUCGGCAGCUGGAAGGCAGAGGCCAGGGCCAGCCUGGCUGGGCACCGCUUUCAGGUGGCAGAUUUUCUGUUCUAGCAUCACAUGGCAGGGACGAGGGGACUCUGAGGCUCUCUUCACUAGGAGCACUAUCCCAUUCUUGGUCAGCCCCACCCUCAUGAUGUAAUGGGGGUUAGGAUUUCAAGAGCUCCCUGAAGCCACUCCAGGGAAGUCAGGAGUGAGACGCCCACAUCUGAUAAUCACCUCCAGCACCCCCACAGUCAAGAACUCAGAUCAUCAUGAAUAUUUACACCUAGCAAGGCCCUUUGUGCACGACUCUGAGAGACAAAUGGUGUUCCAUGGUCCCCAGAAUUAGGGAGAGCUGGUUCUACUUUCCUAGCUGUGUAACACAAGGUGAGUGACUCUUUCACUACAAAUUCAUUUUUCAUCCGAGAAAUGGGGGCCUACAGCACACAGAGACUCGCUCCUAGCUGGACCCCAGUUGAGAUCCUGUCCCAUCCUGGGCUGUCAGACCGAGACUCAACGCACUUCUUGGAAGUGUCCUGAAUUUAAUGACAUCAAAUCAAAGAACAAACCACCUCUCAGUGUCCAGAUACCCAUCAUUUGGAAGGCAGCCAGGAAUUGCUGUGAGGACCUAAUUCAUUCUGGAGACAUUCAUUACCUGUCUCCCUGGAUGACUUCUCCCUAGAGAUUUCUGCAAACCCUGCCGCCAGUCAGGACACAAUUUUGAACAUGCCAACUUUUACUGGCCUGGCAGGAGCGGGGAGACUCGUCAUGUUGGGGCUUCAGGCCAAGCAGCAUGCGCUAGCUUUGAGGGGAGCCGGUGCCACUGCAGGAAGCAUCCUAGUUCGCACGUUGAUAAAUGCUGCCAGCAGGAACUCAAGAGCCUGGGCAGAGCUGCUGUGCUGUGUUUAAUGCUUCCCUGGUUAAAGUUUCAUCAGGUGCUGAAGACAGCGGGAGCCCAUAAAGCAAAUCUGAAAUCCUUUCCAAGUAAAAGCAAAAGUGCUUUCCAUGAGGAUUACACAGAUAUGAUAAUUUAUGGAGAUAAGCUGGCAUGUAUCUUUUAUUUCUAAUCAUAUCCACCGCAUAAAUGCUUGGGUUUCCCAAAUACUGAUUUAAAGGAAUAAUACCUAGUUGGGUAUACAGGGGCCGCUGAUCUGCCCUCAGCUAAGAUAAGGAGAUUAAACAAUUAUUUCGGAGGAAAG
Talpa occidentalis (Iberian mole) is the source of this 1214-nucleotide long non-coding RNA. RefSeq lists it as uncharacterized. NCBI's taxonomy places the organism in Eukaryota, Metazoa, Chordata, Mammalia, Eulipotyphla, Talpidae. The record is from RefSeq and is a predicted model, not a curated record. The transcript has 3 exons.